Molecule: ribosomal RNA, 460 nt
Filed under: uncultured bacterium
Lineage: Bacteria
Description: bacterial SSU rRNA
Rfam family: Bacterial small subunit ribosomal RNA
Source: RNAcentral
CCUACGGGAGGCUGCAGUAGGGAAUAUUGGUCAAUGGGCGGGAGCCUGAACCAGCCAUGCCGCGUGCGGGAGGAAGGCCCUACGGGUCGUAAACCGCUUUUAUACGGGAACAACCACAUGUACGAGUACAUGUCUGAGUGUACCGUAGGAAUAAGGAUCGGCUAACUCCGUGCCAGCAGCCGCGGUAAUACGGAGGAUCCGAGCGUUAUCCGGAAUUAUUGGGUUUAAAGGGUGCGUAGGCGGCAGUUUAAGUCAGGGGUGAAAUACAGCGGCUCAACCGUUGCAGUGCCUUUGAUACUGAACUGCUUGAAUGUGGCCGAAGGAGGCGGAACGGGACAAGUAGCGGUGAAAUGCAUAGAUAUGUCCCAGAACCCCGAUUGCGAAGGCAGCUUCCUAGACCAAUAUUGACGCUGAUGCACGAAAGCGUGGGGAUCGAACAGGAUUAGAUACCCUUGUAGUC